Molecule: ribosomal RNA, 330 nt
Filed under: uncultured bacterium
Lineage: Bacteria
Description: bacterial SSU rRNA
Rfam family: Bacterial small subunit ribosomal RNA
Source: RNAcentral
AGGGUUCGAUUUGGCUCAGGACGAACGCUGGCGGCGUGCCUAACACAUGCAAGUCGAACGAAGCAUUAAGAGCUUGCUUUUGAUGCUUAGUGGCGGACGGGUGAGUAACGCGUGAGCAACCUGCCUUUCAGAGGGGGAUAACGUUUGGAAACGAACGCUAAUACCGCAUAACAUAUUUGAAUCACAUGGUUUGAAUAUCAAAGGAGCAAUCCACUUAAAGAUGGGCUCGCGUCCGAUUAGCUAGUUGGUGAGAUAACAGCCCACCAAGGCGACGAUCGGUAGCCGGACUGAGAGGUCGAACGGCCACAUUGGGACUGGGACACGGCCCAG